UGACUGACUGAGCCACCAAGGCGCCCCGGAAGAAAUCGUCUUUAAAUUCUCUGGAUGUAGCUCACUUAAAGGUGAUAUACCUAUUUUGGAACAAGGCAUUUAUACACAAAGUAACCUAUGGAUGUACAGAGCAGAACACAAAUUAAUAUAAAGAUGAGCAGGGAUGAUAUUCUCCUAGCUGUUCCCAUGGUGGACGGCAAAUGAUUGUUGAAAGGAUGAAUUAAAUAUUGCUUGGAGACACUACACAUCUACUCAAGGUAAAAGAGAAGAUGAUCAAGAAAAGGAUAACCACAUUCUUUUAGGAUCUGUGACAAGAGAGGCUGGUGUGGAGACUGGGAUGCAGGGAGGACAUGAGGGAAGCUGAGACGAUGAAGCCCUCUGGUAGUGCGCGUCGCUCAAAUGCUUUCAGAGGCCAUGGCCCAGUGGAUAACCUAGAGAUCUGCAAAGGGCCUAGUUGGAGCAGCCAUUUUGCCAUUCAAGAAUGUAGGCCCAGCAAGGCCAGGUCUUCACAUUUUCAUGAGAAG
Molecule: long non-coding RNA, 524 nt
Organism: Mustela erminea (ermine)
Lineage: Eukaryota; Metazoa; Chordata; Mammalia; Carnivora; Mustelidae
Exons: 4
Source: RefSeq, a predicted model, not a curated record